AAGGAGGGCUCUCCUCCGGCGGGGAGGCAUCAUGGCCGCUAAGUCAGACGGGAGGCUGAAAAUGAAGAAGAGCAGCGACGUGGCGUUCACCCCGCUGCAGAACUCGGACCACUCGGGCUCGGUGCAGGGAUUGGCCCCGGGCUUGCCGUCUGGGUCGGGAGCCGAGGACGAGGAGGCGGCCGGCAGCGGCUGCUGCCCGGACGGCGGCGGCUGCUCACGCUGCUGCUGCUGCUGCUCCGGGAGCGGCGGCUCGGGGGGCUCUGGCGGCGGCGCUGGCGGCCCGGGCGGCGGCGGCGGGGCGGGCUCAGCGGCGCUGUGCCUGCGCCUGGGCAGGGAGCAGCGGCGCUACUCGCUGUGGGACUGCCUCUGGAUCCUGGCUGCCGUGGCCGUGUACUUCGCGGACGUGGGCACGGACAUCUGGCUCGCCGUGGACUACUACCUGCGCGGCCAGCGCUGGUGGUUCGGGCUCACGCUCUUCUUCGUGGUGCUGGGCUCCCUGUCGGUGCAAGUGUUCAGCUUCCGUUGGUUUGUGCACGAUUUCAGCACUGAGGACAGCGCCACGGCCGCAGCAGCCUCCAGCUGCCAGCAGCCCGGAGCCGAAUGCAAGACGGUGGUCAGCGGUGGGUCUGCAGCCGGUGAAGGCGAAGCUCGUCCUUCCACGCCGCAAAGGCAAGCCUCCAACGCCAGCAAGAGCAACAUCACCGCCGCCAACAGCGGCAGCAACAGCAGCGGGGCCACUCGGGCCAGCGGCAAACACAGGUCUGCGUCCUGCUCCUUCUGCAUCUGGCUCCUGCAGUCACUCAUCCACAUCUUGCAGCUCGGGCAGAUCUGGAGAUAUUUCCACACAAUAUACUUAGGUAUUCGAAGCCGACAGAGUGGGGAGAAUGACAGAUGGAGGUUUUACUGGAAAAUGGUGUAUGAGUAUGCUGAUGUGAGUAUGCUGCAUUUGCUAGCCACCUUUCUGGAAAGUGCUCCACAGCUGGUCCUGCAGCUCUGCAUUAUCGUACAGACUCAUAGCUUACAGGCCCUCCAAGGUUUCACAGCUGCAGCCUCCCUCGUGUCCCUGGCUUGGGCCCUUGCCUCCUACCAGAAGGCCCUCCGGGACUCUCGGGAUGACAAGAAACCCAUCAGCUAUAUGGCCGUCAUCAUCCAGUUCUGCUGGCACUUCUUCACCAUCGCCGCCAGGGUCAUCACCUUUGCCCUCUUUGCCUCCGUGUUCCAGCUCUACUUUGGGAUCUUCAUCGUCCUUCACUGGUGCAUCAUGACCUUCUGGAUCGUCCACUGUGAGACGGAAUUCUGUAUCACCAAAUGGGAGGAGAUCGUGUUCGACAUGGUGGUGGGGAUCAUCUACAUCUUCAGCUGGUUCAACGUCAAGGAAGGCAGGACACGCUGUCGGCUGUUCAUUUACUAUUUUGUGAUCCUUUUGGAAAACACAGCCUUGAGCGCCCUCUGGUACCUCUACAAGGCGCCUCAGAUUGCAGAUGCGUUUGCCAUUCCGGCGCUCUGCGUGGUGUUCAGCAGCUUUUUAACUGGCGUGGUUUUUAUGCUGAUGUAUUAUGCCUUCUUUCACCCCAAUGGACCCAGAUUCGGGCAGUCACCAAGUUGUGCUUGUGAGGACCCCGUCGCUGCCUUCACUCUGCCACCGGAAGUGGCCACGAGCACCCUACGCUCCAUCUCCAACAACCGCAGCAUGGUCAGCGACCGCGACCAGAAAUUUGCAGAGCGGGACGGGUGUGUCCCUGUCUUUCAGGUGCGCCCCACUGCCCCGUCCACCCCAUCAUCUCGUCCACCACGGAUUGAAGAAUCAGUCAUUAAAAUUGACCUGUUCAGGAACAGGUACCCAGCGUGGGAGAGACACGUUUUGGACCGAAGCCUCCGCAAGGCCAUUUUAGCCUUUGACUGUUCCCCGUCUCCUCCAAGGCUGCAGUACAAAGAUGAUGCCCUUAUCCAGGAGCGGUUGGAAUACGAAACCACUUUAUAGAACAAAUGGACCUACAGGAGCCACAAGGUCCAGUUGAAGGGUGACAGCAGGGCUGUGGCAAUAAGGACAGUUAUCCUAGAGUAGGGCAGUGAGCUGUGAUGUUCUUAGUCUGACCAUCAUUAUGAUCAUCGUUUGAUUCCCCAUCAGCUGACUGUUUGCUGCUGGUCCCCUUUCAAACCAGCAGCACGGAGUCUCUUAUUCCACCCAAAGGAUGAGGCCAGCUGGGUGCGACUGUGGCUACCACACCCCUCCUGCACACAGUCUUGGAGCAUAUCUGCCAGAGGGCACCAUUAACAUGGAAAAUUCUGCCUCUGAUCAAUAGGGUGUUUUGAUGGAGUUAACUGAUCUUUGCAUAAAAAUAUGUUGAGUCAUACACACACAUCUACACACUGACACGCACACAACACCAGUUCUCUGUCAAAAUAGGUUAGGUGAUCUUUCUUGAGGCAAAGUUCAGAUUCCCGUGGGAAUAUAAACACCAAGAGGAAGGGAGAAUACAUCCCUCAAGACUCCAGAAAAAAAAAAAAAGUAAUAGCACUUAGAAAAGAAUUCAUAAACCAUUUUCUCAUUUGGAAACAAAUACCGUGCGUGAGAUGCCUAUCCAAUGGACAACCCACUCAAGUGUGUUUACACGUGUACUGCCAUAGACAAAAUGGUUCAUGUCCUACACAUUUCAGGAUUUGUUGUUCUUUUUUUAACUUUCAGUUGAGAACGUUCUUUACGACAGAAAUCCUAUGCAGCACAUGUAUGGCUUUUGAUGCGAGCUUGAUGACUUCGUGAUGUAACUUAAAUGAUUAUCGUGAUUCAGUAUUCAAUUGCAAAAAUUCAAUAACUAUACAAAGAGGAAGUGGAGGGGGGAGGCAAAAUGAGAAUCUGGUUCCCAGGCCUGUGCAGCUCACACUGAAAUGUUGCUGGGCCCAAAUGCAGAACAAGUGGCUCUGUGGGCAAAUAAAAUUGUACAAAAAAAUUUGUACAAUACAAAUGACUCCAUGCCACACCUUUCUAGUGCCAAACACCGUAACCACAGGACUGACAGGCAAUCCCCUAGCAACUGAGAAUGAGUGGCUUGAGCCCCCUAAAAGUGGACAAGAGAAUGAACAAUCAAGUUCUCCACUGUGUAUAGACUGCCCCCGUCCCAUCUGAGGUCAAAGUGAUGCAUCUUUUAGAGGCUUUGGUACACUUUUUAGUAAGUAUAAGCAAACAAAAGCAGUGAAUACGCUAUGAGAAAACCCUUCCAAACUGAUUGAGGGCUUAUCACUAUAUCCAGCUAAUAUUUGUAUUUGAAUCAUCUGCAAAGUCGCACUCUUGCAACAAGCUUCUGGGUUUUAAAUACCUCCGCACAGCAAGUAACUGUUCCGCUUUCUGUUCUCAGUGUCCUCGGUCAUGGUGCUUUUUGUUGCAUUAAAAGUGCCAGUCAAACUUUGAUAGUAUUUUUUUAUAGUUGGUGCAGAGUGGAAUAACUCAUGGAUUAUUUCAAUAUUUUUGUAAUAAAAAUAUAGGGUAUACACAUAGACAUCAUCACUUUUUUUAUAGACCUGGAAUUGUUUAAAAUACAUUCAGCAUCAUAGUCACUUGGGAUGUCAGAAAUUGGUCCACAAAUUCCAUCAGCCUGCCUUGGCAGAUUGAAAACACCUGUCUCUUGCAAGAUCACCCUAUUUUUGCAAGUCAGUGCCCCUAGGAACCUGGCCAGGGGUGCUAUCAGUGCUUCAGGCGAAGAGAGAAUCAGCUUAACUAGAAAGGGCUUGUCAUGACUGGCCAAUGUUUCCCAGGAGGUCAAAGAUGUAAAUGGUUAUUUUCAUCCAUCCAUUAUAACACACCUGGCCACAGUGGAAGAUGUCUUAAACUUCCUUCCCUGGUUUUAUAAAAACCCAAGUGAUAUAUUAAAUACCAAUCAAGAUACUAAACAGAAAGGAAAAUGUUUAACUUAGUUAUUGGGACUGCCGAAUUCACUUAAAAUAGUCAUGUUCCAUAGCCACCACCUCUAUCGGGUGUGUCAUUCAGAACCGCUGUCCUCAUGAUGACAUCCACAGCAAGUUACAGAGGUUCAACCUAGGACUUUUUUUGGUGCAAAACCCCAAAGUGAUUUUUUUAAAAAUAGACAAUUUUUAUCAGUAGACAUUCUUCAUACUACUCCAUGAUUUGAUCCUCCAAGCAAGAUUUCCACUAAAAAUUAACUUAUCCUUUGUUGGGAAGUGGAAGGAUUUCCUAGUCACCAGUAGAGGCCCUGGAGGACGCUCUUCUUAUCAGCGGUUGGUGAGAACUUUGCACCCCCACUGUAGAAGGACAAAAAAAAAAAGAGAGAGAGAGAGAUUACUUUGGCAAUUCUUCACUUUUGAGCAGAACCAUGAGUUAUUAGCCUUGUUAGUUCCAAGACAACUUUUAACUGAUGAUCUAUGGAAAUUGAAUCUCUCAGUUGGACUAUACCUUUGAUCCCAUGAGUAAAUAUCAGUAUAAUAGUGUCAAUGAACACAAAUCCAACAGGCCCCAUCAUUCUUCAAUCACAAGCAUCUUGGAACUUGUCAAGUUUAACUGGAAAUGAUUCGCAGUUCAUUAAUUCAACUGACACUUUAUUCCUGCAAAUUCUUGACUUGUAAUAUUAUAAUCAAGCUACUACAAGGGAACAUUAAUCAGUUUGUGGAAAGGGAGCACUUCCUUCGAGGGUGAGCCAUGAAGUACCCAGGCCUGAAGAUAAAGACCUCUGUGAAGCAGAGCUAAUGAAUUCGUACAACCUGGUUCCUCUUCAUCGAUGCUAGGAACAUACAGAUGCUUCAUUUUUUAUGCCACUAAGUGUUGCUUUGGGAAAGAAAGAGAGAGAGAAAUUUAUCAAUGAAUUCUUGGGGGCUUGUGCAGCUCAGAGAAUGGGUAUGAGUCAUGGAGAAUUCCUUUAAGUGGAUUCAAAUCCACUUGUUUGGAAAUGAAAAAAAGUCACUGUCACCUGUUUAGUCAUUGACCUUUGUCUGCAUACAGUUGCUGCUUUUACUGCAUUUCUUGAGACUACCAUUAUUAGCUUUGUAAUAAGCAAUUUGUAAAAAUUGAGUUUAUAAUUCAAUUUCAGAGGUAAAAUCUGUGUGGAUAUAGCUAUUGAAUGAUUUGAUUCUCUGACUUGUUAGAUGAUGACAUUAUCACUUCCAAACUGAGAUCCAUUUCUAUGUGGAAUUAGCCACCCUAUGGCUUCUCAGAUCACACAGAACCUUGGUUACACGCUCCAAGAUCUCCACUAUGAUAUUCUUAAUGCCUCUGUGUUCACUUAGAAGUAAACAAGUGAUCUCAUAGUUUUAAAUUAUAGUUCUCUCCCACUUGCUUCUCUUUUUUUCAAAGAUUUGAGUUAUAAGGUAAGAAUGAGGUCAUCAGACAUUUUCAAUUUGAUCAUAGUUUCAGAGUAUUCAAGAGAGUCACGUAUCCAUAUGUUCUUAUGAAGUCUUCUGUCUAAUCUUUUGUUGUCACAGUUUUAGGAAUUAGCCCUAAAUGAAUGAGUGGAAGUAAUUAGAUCAAACCAAUGGUAGUCUAGAAGAAAAGUGAGACGAGAAAGAAGCAGGGAUCGUUUUUCUUGUGCUUCAAAGAUGUUUCUCUUCCUACAUGAUCAUCUUGGUGGUUGUCUCCAAGAUGCACCAAGAGCUACUAAAUAAUAAUCCAAGUUCUCAACUCUAGGAUCACAGCCAGUCCUUUAUGAGAACUAGCUCUUGGCAUAAGCACUGAAAUUGAAUAAUAGAAAAGUGGCCUACCACCAUGUGACUUACUCUCAAUUGCAAGGCAAUGAAAACGUGCAACUUGAAGAAAAGUUCAUUUUUGAAGUCUAAAGAGAACUUAAGCACAAAGACACUCUGUAACAUACAGUGAGGUGGUUGACUGUGGGGACAAAGGAGCAAUAAACAGUCCUCUUGGACAAGGCUUAUGGGAAAGAGUGACCAUAGCAGUGCUGGGUGUUGGGAUAAAGGGUUUCUUUCCAUUAGAAAGGUCUAGGUAUGGUGACUGAAGAGAAAAUCUCUCAGUGGCUCACCAGGAAUAUUUGCUUUUUUACAGAAACAAGUUUAAGGUAGUCACUGACGUUCCAUAACCAGGACAACAGGCUUGAGAAAGGCCAAGGCCUGACUAGCAUAGGAACAGGGAGCAGAAAUUCGCGGUUUCAUGUCUGAGACUGGCUGUCUCCUUAAGAGAACUCCCACUUUCUGACCAUUCUUGAUCACUGGCUCCAUACACUGCUCUGUACACCGAGAGCUUCUGAUGGAUUAUAAGAUAGGAUAUUUGAAGGCAUUGUGAGUCAAUCUUGCUUGUAGAGCAUGAAAUAUUUAAUUGUCCAUCCUUCUAACAACAAUGGUAUUCAGGGUUACCAUGGCCUUAUUCAUCCUCCCAUUGUAAAUAGAUCAUGGCAUCAGGAGUCUCUGUGUUCACACUCAGUAAGCCAGGUUUACAGGUACUAGAAUCUUUUAAACAUACUUUGGAUCUUGAUUCUGCCAAUCACUUAGUCUGUGUAUCUAUUUCCAAACUGGAAUCUAAUUCUUGUGACAAUGAUUUUCAGAAUAAUGGAAACAAACCAACAAAAAAAGAACAGUUAAGCAUUUUUCCAACAUAGACAAACCCAUUGGACCAUUGAUAGCCCUAAAGCUCUGAUUUUUCCUCAUGACCAAAUUUCUUUCCAUUUGAGGUAUUUCAGCAUCUGAAUUUUUCGGACGAUUGCUGAACCAUCUUCACUAAACCAAAGUAGACAGUACGGCAUUAUUAAAAAUAAAGACUGUCCAUGCUAAUGCAAACAUCCCAACGAAAAGUGAAGAAGCUCAUUCAAGUGGUAAAUUUGGUCUUCUUGAUAGUAAGCAUCUGGUUACUAUUAAGAAAAGUGCAGAUACUGGAAGUGUAUAGUUUUCUGUUUGGUUGUCUGGUAUUGUAUGAACAGACAAACUGCUCAGGUGAUGUAGGUAAUGGAAUUCAACUUUCUGGUGUCAUAAUCAGUUGCUGGUGGUAUUCUGUUGCUAGCAGUCUCUUUGUUGUGCAAAGAGAAAUAAAUGAUGUAGAGCAAAUGUUAUUUGAUUUUUAUUUACUGUGGGAAAACACGUGGAUGGAAGAAGUUCAGGAGGCUGCCCUGGGUAUCAUAGGUUUGACUGCAGCAUUGCCCUUCUUCAAAGGGGUAGUUCCAGCAAUCUUCCACUUGGCCCCUUUCAGGGAGUGAAACUUUUCCUUUGGAUUUUGUUACAUUUAGAGUUUUUAUUGUCACUCUUCCACUGUUCAUAUAAUCUUAAUCACUCACAAAGUCUACUUUAUGCAAUGUGAAGGGUAAUACAAAUUCAUUAACUUUUUAUUUCUCAGAUAGAAGUUUUCAUGUCAAGCAUUCCUUGCUAUACCUUUUCACCAUAGAAAUUGUUUAAACUGCUUGAUUUCACAGUGUCAACAGAAGCAAGAACUAUUUUUCCAAAUCAAUAGUAAUCUAUAAUUUUUUGUUUCAUUGUUGAUAUUGUUCCUAUUGCCAAGUGUUAACUGGUCUUUGUGAAAACUGGAAUAUUAGUGUUUUUACUUAUAGUCACUGUUAAAAUUCCCCAAAAAAAAAAGAGAAAAAAUGGCAUCAAAGGGUAAUACUCUUUUCAGAAGGAACAUGUGUGGUGUUCAUAUCAACUCGUGUAUUUGUGAUUAUUUGUAGAUGUUUCUUAUAAGGUUAGGAAGAUAAUCUUGUUUAUUUAGUGUUGGCUCUGGGUUGCUGAGCAUGUGAAUUUCUUCAAAUUGUGUGCUUAGCUCAUUUACCAUUCAGAAGCUCUGCAGAAAAGCAAAGAAAUUUAGACCAAAUUUCUCUUAAGAGCUCUUAUAUUGCAGAACUUACUAGAAGGCACUGACUCUGAGCAGGCACACAGAGCACUGAAAGGUAUUGAGCUAUGCAAAAUCUUGAGGGGAUUUCCAGGGAAAAUCUAAAUAUUUUGAAGGUUGGGGUUAGGUAAAAUUUUCAUGUGUCAAGUUCAAUACUCAGUGCCAAGUUAGAACAACUUCCUGGGCUAAGCCAUGAAGUUCUCUUUUGAGUUCCCCCUUCCCUCAAAUGCAGAAGUUCCCUUACCUCAAAUGGAUACUCCACUUUGUAUAGCAAGGACCUCCAGCCACUGUGGCACCACUGCCCGGUGCUAAUUGUGUCUUUGGAAGGCGGGUCAUGGCUACUGUGUAAAACUUUCAAAACCAGAAGACUCUCCAACAUCAAUGUGUGUAGCAACCCAAAUUGGUUUUGCUUUUCUUUUCCCUAAGAUUUUUACUUCCCUAAAUCCUUUUCCAAAAUUUUUUACCAACAUGUUAUUGACAAGAUGUUUAGUUGAAUUAGAAACAAAGAGAUAAAAAUCAAUUGGCAAGAAUAAAAAAUUUGUUAUUUUUUUCGGUUAUUUUUGAAUAUGUAAUCUUUGAAUGGAAGUUAUGGUUUAGCUGUAAACCCAAAAUCCCAGUGUUGAACAUAAUGACUGUCUUCAGUAGGCUUAAAUAUAUCCUAUGAAGCAGUAUGCUUUUACACUCCAUUCCUGGACACAGGAAUGUGAGGGGGCUAUGGUCCAGGGACUAGAAAAAAGGGACUAGAAAACUGCACACCUGAGUCCUAAUCCCUGGGCCAUCUCUUUAGCUUCAGAAACUCACCCUUGGCCUCAUUUUUCCCAUAGAUAGAAGAGAGAUAAUAUUUAUGUAUCUACCUCGUGGGAUGUUGUAAAGAUUAAUGAGUAUUGGUGAAGUACUCUGAGAUUAGAAAUACUGUCACUCCCAAUGAUUGACAUGAACCCAAGGAGAGCUAUUUGCAGCACAAGGGUGGGCUAAGGGGUGGGCCAAGUUGUCUGAGGAACUCACCAGCAAUAACUCACCAAGCAGAGAACAGUUAUUCAUCACUCAAUGUAAGUAAAACUUUCCCUUCAAAGGUUCCUGUAGAACUUUGUAAAUGAUCAGCUUUUUAAUGAGGAAAUUAAUUCCUUUCAUACAGAACAAUAAUUUUCUUCUUAGCCAAACUGAAAUUUUACUAAAUGUUUAUUAAAAAUGUAUCCAGAAAACUUGGUUCCUUCUGAUGCCUAAGGAGUUUGCAUGCCUGACCCCCAUCUACAUUUUCUGUAACCCAUAGAUGGUACCUCCAGUUUAGCACUAAUGAUUACCAAGUCGUGUUCCGAAAUCUGCAGUGUGUGUGGGGGGGAUCCUUAAGAGAUAUUAUUGAGAUUAAAUUUUGUGUUGCUUACACUGAGUUUCCUUUUUAUCCCUGAUAUUACACAUCUCUCUCAACAAAAAAAUGUAAAGGCCCAUUCCUGCUUAGAACUCCUGAGUUGGUUCAUUUUCAUAUUACAAGUACAUUUCAAAUAUUUUAGAGAAAUGUUACUCAAGAGCUUCAGUUUCUAUCAAUGUAUAUGUGAAUACUACUGAAAGAUAAAGGAGUUGGUAGGCAAACAACCUCAAGAUGUCCUCGACAACUUCCUGCAACUAUGGUGUUUUCUCUUACUUAAAUGAUCCAUCCUAAUAAGAGCUAAUGCUAAAUAACAUUAUUUGGGGUUAUAAAUAUUUACAAUUUUGAAGGUAAAGAGGUGAUAUCAUGAGGUAAAAAGACAUCCAUGAAACAACACUAACAAAGCAGAUAAUGAUUUCAUGAUGUGACUUCGGGUAGCAGAGUUGUACAUAAAUUUUAUCAUUGUGUCUUUACUUAAUGAUUAUAUUCCUUUGCAAAUCUUUUUGUGUGCUCUUAAUGGUAUGAUUUUAGAAAGUUUACCAUGGGAAGUGGGUUUAAGAUCCUGUUGUGUUUAGAGCUGAUGUAGACAUAACAUACUUAUUCAAUAUAAUCUCUUCUGGAUUCUAAAAUCUACUUGAUUGCAAUAUAUCAAACUUUAAAAUUUCCAAAUCAGUUAAACAUUUCUAGUGCAUUCUCGAACAUUCCAAAUCACCCAGGCAAUUAAAAAAAAAUCUGUGCUGCCAUUCAAAACUUAAGUAUUGCUUUGAAAUAAAAUGAGUAUAGUGAGUCAAAAAAUGAUUUUACUUUCCCUGGCUUUUUUUUUUCUAAUUCCAAGUACAGCAGAAGAUUCUUUUUGCUAUGAAAAGAAAUGUUUCUGUUUUUAUUUGGUUUUGUACAAGAAAACUGAAGUUGGUAAUAUGGAUUAGAUACAAGGGCCUGAAAUGAGCGAGGGGUGACUUUUCAGAUUGCUAGGAUGAGGGGGAGGCAUGGGGAGAUUCAACUACAGAGAUACAAAACAGAAUCCACAAGAGUUAGAGCUGGACAAUUCCUUGAAAAAGUUAUUCAUCAAACAGGUAAAAAAAAAAAAAACAGAUGGAGGUAGUGUGUUAUUUAGCUAUAAACUAGAUAUCUAGUUU
This is a non-coding RNA of Oryctolagus cuniculus (rabbit), 10267 nucleotides long. Lineage: Eukaryota; Metazoa; Chordata; Mammalia; Lagomorpha; Leporidae. The record is from RefSeq and is a predicted model, not a curated record.